ACUCAAAUGAAUAGACGGGGGCCCGCACAAGCAGCGGAGCGUGUGGUUUAAUUCGAUGCAACGCGAAGAACCUUACCCGGGCUUGACAUGUGAUCGCAGCAGGGGUAACGCCCUGUCCCCUUCGGGGGCGGUCGCACAGGUGCUGCAUGGCUGUCGUCAGCUCGUGCCGUGAGGUGUUGGGUUAAGUCCCCUAACGAGCGCAACCCCCGGGGCCCGUUGUAUUUUUCGGGUCCGACUGCCGCGCGCAACGCGGAGGAAGGUGGGGAUGACGUCAAGUCAGCACGGCCCCGACGCCCGGGGCGACACACACGCUACAAUGGCCGGCACAACGGGUCGCGAAGCCGCGAGGCGGAGCCAAUCCCAGCAAAGCCGGUCGUAGUUCGGAUGGCAGGCUGCAACUCGCCUGCCUGAAGCCGGAGUUGCUAGUAACCGCGGGUCAGCACACCGCGGUGAAUACGUUCCCGGGCCUUGCACACACCGCCCGU
Molecule: ribosomal RNA, 485 nt
Filed under: uncultured bacterium
Lineage: Bacteria
Description: partial 16S ribosomal RNA
Rfam family: Bacterial small subunit ribosomal RNA
Source: RNAcentral